RNAcentral lists this ribosomal RNA (253 nucleotides) under uncultured bacterium. RNAcentral's name for it is "partial 16S ribosomal RNA". It matches the Rfam family "Bacterial small subunit ribosomal RNA", at positions 524 to 776 of the family's 1533-position model. The record is from RNAcentral.
UACGAAGGGGGCUAGCGUUGUUCGGAAUUACUGGGCGUAAAGGGCGCGUAGGCGGUGCCUCAAGUCAGGCGUGAAAGCCCCGGGCUCAACCUGGGAACCGCGCUUGAGACUGGAGUACUAGAGUUCGGGAGAGGAUGGUGGAAUUCCCAGUGUAGAGGUGAAAUUCGUAGAUAUUCGCAAGAACACCAGUGGCGAAGGCGGCUCACUGGCCCGGUACUGACGCUGAGGUGCGAAAGCGUGGGGAGCAAACAGG